AAUAGAUACCCUGGUAGUCCACGCCGUAAACGAUGAGUGCUAAGUGUUAGGGGGUUUCCGCCCCUUAGUGCUGCAGCUAACGCAUUAAGCACUCCGCCUGGGGAGUACGGUCGCAAGACUGAAACUCAAAGGAAUUGACGGGGGCCCGCACAAGCGGUGGAGCAUGUGGUUUAAUUCGAAGCAACGCGAAGAACCUUACCAGGUCUUGACAUCCCAUUGACCACUAUGGAGACAUAGUUUUCCCUUCGGGGACAACGGUGACAGGUGGUGUAUGGUUGUCGUCAGCUCGUGUCGUGAGAUGUUGGGUUAAGUCCCGCAACGAGCGCAACCCUUGUUCUUAGUUGCCAUCAUUUAGUUGGGCACUCUAAGGAGACUGCCGGUGACAAACCGGAGGAAGGUGGGGAUGACGUCAAAUCAUCAUGCCCCUUAUGACCUGGGCUACACACGUGCUACAAUGGACGGUACAAACGGUUGCCAACCCGCGAGGGGGAGCUAAUCCGAUAAAACCGUUCUCAGUUCGGAUUGUAGGCUGCAACUCGCCUACAUGAAGCC
This 552-nucleotide ribosomal RNA is filed under the name uncultured bacterium. Its description in RNAcentral is "bacterial SSU rRNA". It matches the Rfam family "Bacterial small subunit ribosomal RNA", at positions 777 to 1327 of the family's 1533-position model. The record is from RNAcentral.